GCAGUACAGUGGCGUAAUCUCAGCUCACUGCAACCUCUGCCUCCCGGGAUCAAGCGAUUCUCCUUCCUCAGCCUCCCGAGUAGCUGGGAUUACAGGUUCAAGAGAUUCUUCUGCCUCAGCCUCCCAAGUAGCUGGCACUGCAGACACGCACCACCACACCCAGGAUGGUGCUAGCAUAUAUAAGACUGAAACACCAAAGUCCUCCGUGGAAGUUAAUGAAUUUCUAGGCAGCUGUGGUAGACCCCAAAUGCACAGGGCAUAUGGCUCACCUCACCACCCCAGAUGGUGCUACUGGCCCAGCCUUCCCAGCGUCCACCCUGGCAGUCUUUCCUCAUUCCCUUGGCCCUCACCCUGUCUCCUCAGCCUUCCAGCUGCACUGCUAUUGUAGGCUGCUCUUUCUCGACAAUCUCCUCUUAUUUUCUGUGAUGUCUCAGGAUGUUUCUUCUUCUCAGGGGUUUUCCAAGCUUCUUCCACACUCAGGUGCUCAGACGUUUUUAUGGUCUGGCUUCUGAAGGAGAUCAAAAUUCAUAUGGACAGGCAUUUGUGUAUUAGCCAAGAGUUGCUAAUGCAUUUCUUGAUCAUAAGUCUCAGAGAAAUGGGAUGAAAGAUCUUAGAUUUUUAUACACUCUGCUUCAAUGAUUUCUCAGCUUUUCUGAUCUGAAAAGAAUAAAGGACACCUUUUAGCUAAGCACUUUCUGUUUUAUUUCUUAUAAUGCCAUGUAGUGGCUGUUACUGCCAACACAGCAGUCAUUUAAUAAACCCUGAAUGUCUGUA
RNAcentral lists this long non-coding RNA (774 nucleotides) under Homo sapiens (human). RNAcentral describes it as "HSALNT0334824". The record is from RNAcentral. Lineage: Eukaryota; Metazoa; Chordata; Mammalia; Primates; Hominidae.